Molecule: ribosomal RNA, 530 nt
Filed under: uncultured bacterium
Lineage: Bacteria
Description: bacterial SSU rRNA
Rfam family: Bacterial small subunit ribosomal RNA
Source: RNAcentral
AAUAAGAUACCCACGGUAGUCCACGCCGUAAACGAUGUCGACUUGGAGGUUGUGCCCUUGAGGCGUGGCGUUCCGGAGCUAACGCGUUAAGUCGACCGCCUGGGGAGUACGGCCGCAAGGUUAAAACUCAAAUGAAUUGACGGGGGCCCGCACAAGCGGUGGAGCAUGUGGUUUAAUUCGAUGCAACGCGAAGAACCUUACCUACUCUUGACAUCCAGAGAACUUAGCAGAGAUGCUUUGGUGCCUUCGGGAACUCUGAGACAGGUGCUGCAUGGCUGUCGUCAGCUCGUGUUGUGAAAUGUUGGGUUAAGUCCCGCAACGAGCGCAACCCUUAUCCUUUGUUGCCAGCGGUUAGGCCGGGAACUCAAAGGAGACUGCCAGUGAUAAACUGGAGGAAGGUGGGGAUGACGUCAAGUCAUCAUGGCCCUUACGAGUAGGGCUACACACGUGCUACAAUGGCAUAUACAAAGAGAAGCGACCUCGCGAGAGCAAGCGGACCUCAUAAAGUAUGUCGUAGUCCGGAUUGGAGU